GAUGAACGCUAGCUACAGGCUUAACACAUGCAAGUCGAGGGGCAGCAUUUCGAAAGCUUGCUUUUGAAGAUGGCGACCGGCGCACGGGUGAGUAACGCGUAUCCAACCUUCCCCUUAGUAGGGCAUAGCCCGGCGAAAGUCGAAUUAAUACCCUAUGUUCUUUACGGAUGGCAUCUGAAGUAAAGUAAAGAUUUAUCGCUAAGGGAUGGGGAUGCGUCUGAUUAGGUUGUUGGCGGGGUAACGGCCCACCAAGCCUACGAUCAGUAGGGGUUCUGAGAGGAAGGUCCCCCACAUUGGUACUGAGACACGGACCAAACUCC
Molecule: ribosomal RNA, 320 nt
Filed under: uncultured Prevotella sp.
Lineage: Bacteria; Pseudomonadati; Bacteroidota; Bacteroidia; Bacteroidales; Prevotellaceae
Description: bacterial SSU rRNA
Rfam family: Bacterial small subunit ribosomal RNA
Source: RNAcentral